GACGAACGCUGGCGGCGUGCUUAACACAUGCAAGUCGAGCGAUGAAGUCUCUUCGGAAAUGGAUUAGCGGCGAACGGGUGAGGAACACGUGAAGAAUCUGCCCUCCACUUUGGGAUAACACCGGGAAACCGGUGCUAAUACCGAAUAUUGAAACAUAAGUGGCAUCACUGAGUUUUGAAAGAAUUUCGGUGGAGGAUGACUUCGCGGCCUAUCAGCUAGUUGGUGAGGUAAUGGCUCACCAAGGCAACGACGGGUAGCCGGCCUGAGAGGGCGACCGGCCACACUGGGACUGAGACACGGCCCAGACUCCUACGGGAGGCAGCAAUGGGGAAUAUUGGGCAAUGGAGGAAACUCUGACCCAGCGACGCCGCGUGCGGGAUGAAGGCCUUCGGGUUGUAAACCGCUUUCAGUAGGGAAGAAGCGAAAGUGACGGUACCUGCAGAAAAAGCACCGGCUAACUACGUGCCAGCAGCCGCCGUAA
RNAcentral lists this ribosomal RNA (481 nucleotides) under uncultured bacterium. RNAcentral describes it as "partial 16S ribosomal RNA". It matches the Rfam family "Bacterial small subunit ribosomal RNA", at positions 28 to 523 of the family's 1533-position model. The record is from RNAcentral.